RNAcentral lists this non-coding RNA (80 nucleotides) under Actinoplanes awajinensis. RNAcentral describes it as "SAH sequence". It matches the Rfam family "SAH (S-adenosyl-L-homocysteine) riboswitch aptamer". The record is from RNAcentral. Lineage: Bacteria; Bacillati; Actinomycetota; Actinomycetes; Micromonosporales; Micromonosporaceae.
CCAGCCGAGAGGCGCUGCAACGGACAAUGACGUCCGCCACGCUCGGCGUGGGCGUUGUGACGUAAGGGCGCCUCCUGAGA